GACGCCGCCACCGCUGUCCCUUCGCUCGGCCUCCUCUCAAACAUCACUGAAAAAUUCUUCACCAAAACUGUGGUCGCUCUCACAGAAUUUGUGGACAAUGAGAAUUGCAAGAUGAAGACGUUCAGUCAGCUAUCGGAGGGAGAUAUAGAGUUUGUGAAGGAGGUAUUAUCUUUAGCAGAAACCAUAUCGUUGCGAGACAUGUUCAUGUCGAAAUACCGUAUUCUGCUGUGGAAACUAGAUCGUGUCGUAAAGGAGGCGUUGAAAACGUGUGAAUUGACUUACACCGUCGUUGAGAA
Molecule: long non-coding RNA, 296 nt
Organism: Cydia amplana
Lineage: Eukaryota; Metazoa; Arthropoda; Insecta; Lepidoptera; Tortricidae
Exons: 3
Source: RefSeq, a predicted model, not a curated record